GAUGAACGCUGGCGGCGUGCCUAAUACAUGCAAGUCGAGCGCAGAAACUAGGAACUUGUACCAAUUGGGUUAGCAGCGGACGGGUGAGUAACGCGUGGGGAAUCUGCCUUUGAGCGGGGGACAACAUCGGGAAACGAAUGCUAAUACCGCAUAAUAUCUUUAACCGCAAGUUUUAAGAUUGAAAGAUGCAUUUGCAUCACCCAAAAAUGAUCCCGCGUUGUAUUAGCUAGUUGGUGAGGUAAAGGCUCACCAAGGCGAUGAUACGUAGCCGACCUGAGAGGGUGAUCGGCCACACUGGAACUGAGACACGGCCCAGACUCCUACGGGAGGCAGCAGUAGGGAAUCUUCGGCAAUGGACGAAAGCCUGACCGAGCAACGCCGCGUGAGUGAAGAAGGUUUUCGGAUCGUAAAACUCUGUUGUUAGGGAAGAACAUUGGUGAGAGUAGAAAGCUCAGUAAUGAAGGUAAACAACCCAGAAGGGACGGCCAACUUAGUG
This 496-nucleotide ribosomal RNA is filed under the name uncultured bacterium. Its description in RNAcentral is "partial 16S ribosomal RNA". It matches the Rfam family "Bacterial small subunit ribosomal RNA", at positions 28 to 507 of the family's 1533-position model. The record is from RNAcentral.